RNAcentral lists this transfer RNA (71 nucleotides) under Trichonephila inaurata madagascariensis. RNAcentral's name for it is "tRNA-Thr". The stretch from base 7 to 65 matches the Rfam family "tRNA", at positions 6 to 65 of the family's 71-position model. From Rfam's summary of the family: Transfer RNA (tRNA) molecules are approximately 80 nucleotides in length. Their secondary structure includes four short double-helical elements and three loops (D, anti-codon, and T loops). Lineage: Eukaryota; Metazoa; Arthropoda; Arachnida; Araneae; Nephilidae. The record is from RNAcentral.
GGCAAUCAUACUCAGUGGAGAGCACUGGUUUUGUAAACCGGGGGUCGUGAGUUCGAUCCUCACUGGGGUUU